AUUGAACGCUGGCGGCAGGCCUAACACAUGCAAGUCGAACGGUAACAGAAAGCAGCUUGCUGCUUUGCUGACGAGUGGCGGACGGGUGAGUAAUGUCUGGGAAACUGCCUGAUGGAGGGGGAUAACUACUGGAAACGGUAGCUAAUACCGCAUAACGUCGCAAGACCAAAGAGGGGGACCUUCGGGCCUCUUGCCAUCGGAUGUGCCCAGAUGGGAUUAGCUAGUAGGUGGGGUAACGGCUCACCUAGGCGACGAUCCCUAGCUGGUCUGAGAGGAUGACCAGCCACACUGGAACUGAGACACGGUCCAGACUCCUACGGGAGGCAGCAGUGGGGAAUAUUGCACAAUGGGCGCAAGCCUGAUGCAGCCAUGCCGCGUGUAUGAAGAAGGCCUUCGGGUUGUAAAGUACUUUCAGCGGGGAGGAGGGGAGUAAAGUUAAUACCUUUGCUCAUUGACGUUACCCGCAGAAGAAGCACCGGCUAACUCCGUG
RNAcentral lists this ribosomal RNA (490 nucleotides) under uncultured bacterium. RNAcentral describes it as "partial 16S ribosomal RNA". It matches the Rfam family "Bacterial small subunit ribosomal RNA", at positions 30 to 507 of the family's 1533-position model. The record is from RNAcentral.